Long non-coding RNA from Clupea harengus (Atlantic herring), 1209 nucleotides. The record is from Ensembl. NCBI's taxonomy places the organism in Eukaryota, Metazoa, Chordata, Actinopteri, Clupeiformes, Clupeidae.
ACUGUUCUGUAGCAUUUAUUUGCAUUUGUCAGCUCCACUGUCUGGAAUGGGCUAUAAGGAAAUAAAUGGGGAAGAGAUAUAAUGACUACUCAUUGAGAGUUUGCAGGAAGCCUGUAUCUGACUCACUUCUCUUUUCCAUAGUGGACUGUGCUGUUGAGCACGUGAGAGAGUUGGUCCUGUGUUGAUAACAAAUCAGGAACAGAUACAAACCUUCCUGGUCCUGAAACCCAUCUGGUCUGCCACGCACAGUGAGAUUUGCUUAGGCAAAGACAGAAAGGGUUGUUGAGGAUUUCAGAGAAUUUACAGUGAGGGGCAGUUUCCUCCUAGCAGAAAAAAGGUAGCAAUUCAUCAUAAUAACACGUCAUAGCAUUUUUCUGUCUCUUUAUAGGUUUGACUCUUUUUCCAUUUUGCACAUUUAGAUUUAGUCAUGAUCCCCCUAGUGGACAGUAGAAGUAAUAGUAAUACUGUAUCGUACGUCAUGAUCCCCCUACUGGACAGUAGAAGUAAUAGUAAUACUGUAUCGUACGUCAUGAUCCCCCUACUGGACAGUAGAAGUAAUAGUAAUACUGUAGCGUACGGCGAGGUGUACUUGGCUGACUGAAGGUUUGUAGACUUUCAGAAUGCUGAUCUUAGACCUGCUGUUUUUAUGCUAUGAAUGUUUUAAUUGCACAAAAAAGCACAAAAGUGUAAAUUCACUCAGCCCAAUCCAAUAUACACUGGAUAUUGUUGUACAUUCUGUAUGCAUACUUUCAGUGGAAUUAGAAUAGACUUGCAUUGCUUCUGUAAUUUGAGAAUAAGAACAACAGGGGUCAAAUAUAUUUAGAUUACAAUAGUGCUUAAUCAGACUUCCAGCUGAUCUACAAGUAGGACAUACUACCUACACAGACAUAGAAAUAACAUCAAUAAGAUGUUAGUGUUCUGUGAAAUAUUAAUGAAACAACACACGUGUUUUAUCAGAUGUGUUUUAUUAACAACUUACGUGUCAUUCCCAUUACAGUAACAAUGUUAUCUUAAAGAUGCAGUCCACGAUUUGGUUUCCCAAAGGUUGUUGAUACUUGAGCUGAACAGCCAAUCAAAUGACACCUCCCCCUUCCGUGCACCUGAAGCACCGUGUUGAUUGGUUGGGACUGUUUAUGGCUCUGUCUGUUUCUCAUAUGCAGCGCCAGGGCUGUGUACAAACACCAGCUUUUUGGAGCGGACACUGAAUGG